Molecule: long non-coding RNA, 348 nt
Organism: Xenopus laevis (African clawed frog)
Lineage: Eukaryota; Metazoa; Chordata; Amphibia; Anura; Pipidae
Exons: 2
Source: RefSeq, a predicted model, not a curated record
CAGCUGCUGGAAAUGCAAGUACUUUUCCAGUUUGGGCCAUUGUUGUUAUCACUGUGGAAUCUUUCCUUUGUGCCUUGUUUGUUGCAGGUUGCAUUUAUGGGGUUUUGUUUUGCAUGAGGAGACGCAGACGAUCAACUAUCUAUGAAGUAAAUCAAGAAACAGUGUGAUAUGCUUCAUAUACUCCUUGACAGUUCCUGCCCAUUCUCCUGCCACAUUAUUAAGCUUUAAAAACUGGACACUUUACACUUGUGGUUUCUGUUACAACUUCCCAAAAUGCUUCUCUUUUCUUUUGUGCCCGUAAUUCACUCUUUUAAUUCGAUGUUUAAUUCAACUUCAAUCAAAACCUUA